GACGAACCGUGCGAACGUUGUCCGGAAUCAUUGGGCGUAAAGGGCGCGUAGGUGGCGGGACAAGCGUGCGGUGAAAGCUCGGGGCUCAACCCCGGGUCGGCCGUGCGAACUGUUUUGCUUGAGCACUGUAGAGGCAGGCGGAAUUCCGGGUGUAGCGGUGGAAUGCGUAGAGAUCCGGAAGAACACCGGUGGCGAAGGCGGCCUGCUGGGCAGUGGCUGACACUGAGGCGCGACAGCGUGGGGAGCAAACAGG
Molecule: ribosomal RNA, 253 nt
Filed under: uncultured bacterium
Lineage: Bacteria
Description: partial 16S ribosomal RNA
Rfam family: Bacterial small subunit ribosomal RNA
Source: RNAcentral